This 512-nucleotide ribosomal RNA is filed under the name Macrorhynchia furcata. RNAcentral's name for it is "partial 16S ribosomal RNA". It matches the Rfam family "Bacterial large subunit ribosomal RNA", at positions 1861 to 2549 of the family's 2925-position model. The record is from RNAcentral. Lineage: Eukaryota; Metazoa; Cnidaria; Hydrozoa; Leptothecata; Aglaopheniidae.
GCCCAAUGGUUAAAUAUUUUUAUGAAAUUAAAUAAAAAAAAACUAAAUGGCUGCAGUAACUAUGACUGUAUGAAUGUAGCAUAAUCAUUCGCCACUUAAUUAGUGGAUAGUAUGAAUGGUUAAACGAAAAUUUCUCUGUCUUAUAUAAUAAACAAAAAAUUUAAAUUAUAGUUAAGAUGCUAUAUAAAAUUGUAAGACGAAAAGACCCUAUAAAGCUUAACUAUAAUCUUUUACAAUUUAUUUAAAAAAAUAAGAAAAAAAGAUUGGUAGUUUCAUUGGGGCGAUGAUCUCUAAAAAAAAACAGAGAUAAACUAUAUUUAUAAUAAAAAAAUUUACUGUUUAAUUUAUAAAUUUAACAGUUACAAAGUAGGUUAUAAUGACCCAUUAUUUACCCAAAAAAAGAAAUAAUGAUCAAAAAAUAAAAGCUACUUUAGGGAUAACAGGAUAAUUUUUUCCAAGAGAUCUUAUCGAAGAAAAAGUUUAUCACCUCGAUGUUGAAUUAAGAUACCCCA